This is a non-coding RNA of Chiloscyllium plagiosum (whitespotted bambooshark), 7271 nucleotides long. The record is from RefSeq and is a predicted model, not a curated record. Lineage: Eukaryota; Metazoa; Chordata; Chondrichthyes; Orectolobiformes; Hemiscylliidae.
UGCUCUUCGGAUGCUGCCUGACCUGCUGUGGUUUUCCAGCACCACACUCUUGACGCUAAUCUCACUUUUGCCUACAAACCACCUCGGUCUCUACUUGCUACUUGGCAAGUUCUAUACCACUUAAGUAGUGCACGUUCUUCCUUAUUUUUCUUAACUAUUGUCCUACAUUCUGUCUUGUUUGCUACAGAUAAAUUGAAAUGCAAACAAUGAAUGUUUUGAGAACUUGUUUGCUGUUUGAGUGCUUGAGUACUAAAUAUAUUAUACAGUUCACUCCUUUGUCUUUAUUGACCUGGAUAGAUUUAUAAUUUUAGGCUAUAAGCUGUGUUCAUUGCAAAUAUGUUAAUAUCUUGCACUGUACAAGAAAAUAUUUCUCUAUUACCAAAAUAGUUCUGUACAAAAUUUGCACAUCAUCUAGUAAGGAAAAGUUGUUCUUAUAUAUUUAUUAUUACAGUUGAUAUUUUCUGUAUUCAUGAUCUUUUUCAUACUGCCCUUAACUCUACUUGUAAUAGAGAAUUUUUAUGAACUGUGAACACAAUUAUUGCCUUGAACAAAAAGAGUCAUAGACAGUCAUUUGUAUUUCUUCAAUCUCUCAAAAGACUUAAUUGAAUAAUUGAGAUGAGAUUUGAUGGAAACUAUAAGAUGUUUUAUUUACCAUCAAUUGAACAAAAAUUGGAAAAGAUUUUUCUUCCAUCAAUCCAAACCAUUUGAGUGCAACAUUUUCAGAAAGCAGCACUAUGCUGUUUCAGUGUGCCAGACUUCUUGGAACAAUUCUGGAUUGUCAUAAAGCCCAAAGCAGAAUAAUUCCAUUCUUCAUUCAUGUAUCUGCUUCAUUUUGUAGCCCUUUAUUACCCGAAUGCUUGUGAAGCUUCCUGUUAUCUGACAUCACAUCUACUUUUAAAAUCUCAGAUUAAAGGAUUUUUAAAUAAGAUGUAAGAGAUGUGUUUCAGUGAUUAGCAAAAUAAUGGUAAGAAACCGGUGCUACGUAUAAUCUACAAAGAAACAUCAAAGCUACCCACCAUCUCUCUUUCCACUAUUGAUUUGCGAGAAUAACUCUUCCAGAUGUGCUAUUAAAUAGCUUAGAUUUUGUAGUCAGUGGUGAAGCAAUGGCUGUGGUCACUAUCUUUUAUGAUAGCUACCCACAAAGAAAAGGUAAUAAGAUAGAUUCUAUCUCAAUCCAAUAGCUCCAAGAUAAAGAAACUUAAACUGGUCCAUAUGUCUUGUUUCUAUCAGAAUGUGUUCAAUUGCACAAAUAAAAAUAGCUUUUCAAGGUCUGAGUAUUUAACACUAAUUAUGAGAUUAAUGCACCUACUUAACACUUAUUCAUUCAUUCAUUCACAGUGUACAAGUUUUGCAAAGGCUGUUAGUGAGACUAAAAAUGUAACAAUACAAGUUCAUUUUCCGUUCAUGGAAUUCACAUUAAUUGCAGUGUGUGGAUUUAAGAACUCACCUUUUGGAGAAGCAGAUAAUCAAUAGUAUCUUCAGGAUUUGUACAAUAUUCUGUGCAUGUAUGGAGUCCAGAAGUUGCUGUCAAUUCCAGUGGAAUCGUGUUGAUGAAUGCUGACAGUUUUUCAGUCAUUGCUCCUGCAAAAUCUGAGUCAAAACAAUUCCCAAGCUUCCUUCUUCUUUGCAGACUGACCUUUUCAUACUUAGAAAAUGAUUAGAACUGGAUGAAAUCUUUGUAACCAAUAUGCAAAGGCAUAUCUUUUAAGGUUUGCAUAAAGAUUUGUAGCUUGGCUGCCAGUUGCCAUGGUUGUGGGUAUGCUUGCUAAGCUGGGAAGUUGAUUUGCAGACGUUUUGUCCCCUGUCUAGGUGACAUCUUCAGUGCUUUGCAACUUCCUGUGAAGCGCUACUGUACUGGAUCUUUUGGAAUUUAUUUGGUUCCAUUCUUACUGCUUUUGGUUGCUAUUUCCAGCUGUUCGUUGUAGUGGCCGGUAUAUUGGGUCUAGGUCUGUGUUUGUUGAUGGAGUCUAUGGAUAAGUGUUAUGCUGCGAUAAUGUCUCUGGCUGUCCUCCGAUUAGCUUGUUCUAUGAUCAGAACUAACAGUCAGACUUCUCCAACUACUCUAAUUCAUGACAGCCCAUAAACCAACAGCCAGCCUCAGACAACUCACUCGAACGAAUGACCCUAUGCCCAUCUUGUGGAAGACUAAUGUAAUUUAGAAGAUUACAUGCAAAGACUGCAUGAAACAUUAUUUGGAACAAAUAAGCAGAGUACUAGCAAUCCACAUCCACAAACACCAACUAGCCACUAAACGUCACGACAACUGUCGUUAGUAGCCAUACACCAAUGUCAAGGAUCUCCAAUUGGACUGGAACAACACAACGAUCAAUGGAUAAGCUAAACAGAGGACAGCCAGAGAAUUUCGAGAAGCAAGGCACUCAUUCCACAGACUCUAUCAUCAAACACACAAACCUAGACCCAUUAUACCGGCCACUACAACGAACAACCGGAAUCUGCAAUAGGAACGGAAUAAAUUCCAGAAGGCGCAGUACAGCAGCGCUAGUAAUGUUUCAAAUUGCUUUAUACAUCCUCUUUUAGCAAGCAAUAAAAGAUUAAUGUACCUGGAGUGGUAUCUGUUUACUGUAUAUUGUAAUAUCAUUAGACUUCAGGAACAUGUGAUUAUCAUGUUCAUUUUUAUGCAGGAAAAGAAUAGUGUAGGUGGAGCCUAAUGGGUGUGUGCAGGCUUAAUACACUUGUUUAGACUAUAAGGUCUACAAUUUCAUAUUCAUUUGUGUUUCCUCUACUUAAAGAAUUUUCACAUCUGAAAUCUGUUUCUUCUCUAUCCUUUGUAAAAUACAAGACAUUAAAACAAUAAUAGCUUAUAUUUAUGUACUAUCUUUAAGAGAGUUAACCCAUUUCACUUCACACCUGUGGAUAAGAUUUCUGUUUUAUGAUUCUCUUCCAAAUGUGGAUCGCAUUCAUUCCACAAGAUUUCAUCUGACAUCUAGCUGCUCAAAGCUUUUCAUUCUAGGUUAUUGCUUUGUUCAUAAGUAACUCUGAUGAUCCAAAUUGUGAUAGAAACAGAAAUAGAUAAUCAUUAAUGAUUCUAACAUCCAAUUUUGUUGUGUCCUGAAACAGCAGAUGGCAUUGUAACACCUGAUGCAUUUUACAUGAUAAAUGAUUCAACAAAAUUAAAACUCCAAGUACAUACAUAGCACAGCUUUAAAAGUAUUUUUUGUCCCAGAUCUGCUUAGCUAACCAUUUAUCUGUCAUUUGACUGUUUUCUUCAGCCCUUCAAAGUUUUUUGAAAGAAAAUCCACAGGGACGAAUUUUAUCAUUUUCAUGUCAAAUCAAUUUUUGAUCAUGGUUUUAUCAAGAUUGUGUGUGUGUGUAUUGACAGAUAUAGUGAUUUUAUAUAUGAAUGAUUAUUGCUGCUUACAGUUUUGCAAUGUAAUUAUUUUGAUAUGCUGGAAAAACACUGCAGAUUUCUACAGAUCUGCAAAUCACUUUCCAAUUGUAAUGAAUUUCAGAGACGAAAGAGUUAUAUUAAAAUCCACCUGAAUACUCAAUAAGAAAAAAUGCUAAGAAAUUAAUUGCCUGGAUCAGAUAUCAUCCGCAUGGAGUGAAACAUAUGCUGAGCUUUCAGAAUCGCUAAGUUAAUAUUAGGAAGUGACUGCCUUUAACUGCUUUUGUAUGAUUCUCAAGAAUAUGCUACUGCUUUAUGAUAGUAUGCACUUAACUUUACAGUUGAUCUCAGUUUAUUCCAGUUGCUUUUGGCAAUUGUUUACUCAUAAUUUGAAGUUGUUUCCAAUGUCGUGCUUGUGUCAAGCUGUUUAUAAGCUCUGAAAUUAAUCUCUCACUUCUUCAGUCUCGAAGAAGCUCGUUGGUUACCAGCCAAGUCAAUGAAGUGUUCUCCUUAUUUUAAACCUAAAGGUGUCUUUUCAAAGCACUGCUCCUCUAGGAAAGCUCUCAAAGCGUGAGGAAAGCAAAACUGGAGCAAGGAUGUGGGCAAAGCUGGCUAAGUCAGUAUUUAUUGCAUGGUCCUAAUUGUCCAUUUGACAGUCAGAUCAGUUAUCUGAACAAAAUACUCCCCAUCUGUCUCGUUUGGAUAAUCAAGAUAAUUCUGUAGUAUCACUCCAGGAUCAACUUGCUGAAUUACUUGCCCUUGGUGUCAUCUUUCUAGCCGUCUCUGAAGAAGGAAGAAUUGCACUCUGAGCUUUUGGACUGGUAUAAAGGGUGUCAAUAUAAGUUUUUGAAGGUUAGAUUAUACUUGAAUUUUUUGAGACAAUCAUUAACAGCAUGGUAAAGAAACCACGCUGUCAAUGAUCAGAUGUUGCCUUUUUGAAAUUCAAGAAGUGAUUUGAUCUGGGCCUGCACAAGAAAAUACCAAAAUAAACUUAAACUGAGACUUUAGUUCAUUAAUGAUUAACUUGUAUUCUUAAAAACAAACUUUAUGCUUAAUCUUUGAGUUUUCAGAGAAUGGUUGUCUACUUGAUUUUCUUUUUCACAGAUGGGAGAAACAGGCAAGGAGAAUCUUUCAGUUCUUAUCCACAAAUAAAUUUCUUUUGAUCUGCUCUGCUGCUCAUAAACAGCUGUUGAAAAAUUGUUCAGUGUAUAUUCCUGAGCCUAGGUGGUGGGCAUUUCAUCUCUCAAUUUAUGAAAUUAUCAUACAAGUGUGAAUUUCUUGAUGCCUUAAUUUCACAGGUCUCUCCAAGCUUUCGCAACCUGUGGUCAGGUGAUCAUUGCAGCCAUUUCAGGUUCACGUUUCUUUUUAAAAAGUAUUUCGGUCCAUGAAAUAUCUCCAGCAAAACAAUCAGAUGAAAGAAAACAAAAUUUGAUAUUGGUGCAUAUUUGUCACUAUCAUAUGACUACUUUGACAACUAUUGCAGAUAAGAUGGUGGCAGAGUAGGAGGCUCCAACUGGAGCUCCUCUGCUCUGCCUGUUCUUUUUGUUUCUUUUAUUUUUUUCUCUUUUUUUCAGUAGUCCUAGAGCAGCAUGAGGGGGUGCUGGAUUUCUGGAGCGACAUGAGGGGCUGCCAGAGCAGCGGAAGGGGGAACCAGAGCGGUGUGAAGGGAAACCGGAAUGGCGCGAGGGGGAUGUCGGAGUGGCAUGAGGGGGAACCUGAGUACUGGUACAGCACAACUUACCUUGAGUGCUGCUGAGGAGCAGGACAGUUGUUGGAUUUGUGCCUGGUGCCGGCAGUCAGACCAUGUGCUGACCUAUUGCUAUCUGAAGUUCUUUAUUGGACUGUAAUAUAAAUCCUUUAACUUUGUUAUAACUACCUUAUCUCUAACUUUUUUUAGGCGCUAAGUAAUGAUGCUACUUUUCCUUUUCAUUCUCUUUUGUAUCCAAAAUUUGUACCUAGGUACUUGUACCUAAGAUGGCGUCAUUAAAGACCGCCAUUGUAAAAUCUUUUCACUGUACUCCUGUACUGGAGUACAUGUGACAAUAAAGCAUAUUCUAAUAUUGUAAUUUGUACAAGAAUGAUUAGAAGUGGAUGGUUUUUAAACAAAAAAAAACCCCUGAAAAAUUGAGAUAUUUCUGUAGUCAAAGUUUUUUUUAAAAAAAGUAACUUUGGUCAAAUUUAACAAUGAGCACUGAAGGGUCCAAUAAGGGAGACAGAAUGCACAUGCACCAGAACUGUACUACAUUUCACACUGUAGGGUCUCUAAUCUAUUCUAAUCUAAUCCCAUAUUGGCCUAUAAAGCUUCUUUAUAGGCUUUUGGGACAAAUGUCUGAAAUAUUUGCAUCUAGAGAUCCAAUGCCUAAUUGAGAUUCUCUUUGUAAAAUUGAUGUAAACAUCGCACACCAUUCACAUUGCGAUGAAGACCGAAGUUCCUUGGAGGGGAUUCCUGGUGGCUUUAACUGGAAAAAUAAUUCUUGAUGCUAUUUUUAAUUGUAACUCCACUAAUUCCUUUUUAAGGUGUGAUAUUGCUGUUUUCUGCUAAUCCAAGGACAGAAUGGCACAGUCCAUAAGUUUUCUAGUUGUCACUAUCAAUGCCAAGUUGUGUUCGGCCAGAGGGAAAUGCGGUUUCUUAGUUGUCUUAUUCUGGAUCCAGAAGAGUUAGCACCUUCAGAUGAACUCUGACGACAGGUCAUCAGUCUGACUUGAUAACUCUGCUUCUAUCUCCAAACAAGUGAGUCCCAUUACUGUUCAUGAAUUCUGGCAAGCUCAAACUUCUCAAGUUUUAGGAUCAUCUCUGCAACACUUUCUUGCAUUUUCUCCAGAGCUUUAAUUUUGUUUGCAUUGUGGAUACUGGAACUACACAUUACCUGUAUACAUAAAUUUAACAUCACCUUCUUGCUUUAUGUUUCACUCUUUUAAAUUCAUUCCUUCUACCCAGUUCAACACCAGCUCCUCCACAUCACUUCUCCCAAAAUAAAAUAAGUUACACUUAUUUCAACUGAAAAGUGAUAUGAUAAGAUACAAAUGAAGAUUUGCAAAAUUAUUUUUCAUCUAAAAAAGUUAGUGAUUCUUUCUAUUAACUGAGAGUUUGAAUUUCAUUUUAGAGAAACAUUACUGCAGUAGAACAGUUGGGUAUUCCUUAUUGUGGGUUUUUUUAAAAUCAUUAAUUUACACUCUUCCAUGUAUCUACAGGUCUCAUAGAUAAAUCUUAAUACUAGAGAAGAGGUGCACAUACAAGACCAGAAAGUAUUCUUAUUUGGUUUUAAAUAAGUCUUCCAUGGAGCCCUAUGCUCAUUGUGAGAGAAACAGGGGCACUGCUGUAGAUAUCACUUACAAUUGCAAGCAGUGCUAUUAAUUGUAAGUUAGUGCACAGUAAUUAUAAUGUGAAAGUUAUUUAUUGUAAGCAUCCACUGUUGGCAAAACAAAACUAGCUUUUAAUUGCCUCCUCUGAGUCUGAAUCCUGCAGAUCUUAGAGCUAGAUAUAAUUUGAUUUAUUCAUUUCAUUAUGAUUGAGCAUUACAGGUAGAGGUUGCUUCUAUAAAGAAUUUUCGAGGAGAGAAUCAGAUAUUACAUUGUCUUAAAGACUACAGUACAAGUUCAAUUUUCGACCAGGUGGAUCAGAUUAGUCUUUAUCUGCUUGCAAGGUUAUUAGUUUUAUUUUAGAGGCUGAUAUUUUAAUCUACAGCAGAAAACUGGACUCAGAACUUUGAUACCAUCAUAAUCGUUGAUAUUUUGGGCGUGUAGAGAUGGUAUAGGGGAGACUCAGCUAAAGGUAAUGUCUUUAGCUGAGUUUCUGGAUUAACAGUCUCAUGUACAAAUCCCACCAUGGCAGAUGGUACAGUUUGAAUUCAAUAAAGAAUAUCUGGAAUUAAGAAAUCUACCAAUGAUGUUGAAUUCUAUUGUUGAUUGUCGGAAAAACUAAUCU